CAGUAGCCGCGGUAAUACGUAGGUGGCAAGCGUUGUCCGGAAUUAUUGGGUGUAAAGGGCUCGCAGGCGGUUUCUUAAGUCUGAUGUGAAAGCCCCCGGCUCAACCGGGGAGGGUCAUUGGAAACUGGGAAACUUGAGUGCAGAAGAGGAGAGUGGAAUUCCACGUGUAGCGGUGAAAUGCGUAGAGAUGUGGAGGAACACCAGUGGCGAAGGCGACUCUCUGGUCUGUAACUGACGCUGAGGAGCGAAAGCGUGGGGAGCGAACAGAAUUAGAUACCCCCGUAGUCCCUGUCUCUUAUAA
Molecule: ribosomal RNA, 301 nt
Filed under: uncultured bacterium
Lineage: Bacteria
Description: partial 16S ribosomal RNA
Rfam family: Bacterial small subunit ribosomal RNA
Source: RNAcentral